RNAcentral lists this ribosomal RNA (429 nucleotides) under Acidobacteriota bacterium. RNAcentral describes it as "Acidobacteria bacterium partial 16S ribosomal RNA". It matches the Rfam family "Bacterial small subunit ribosomal RNA", at positions 355 to 776 of the family's 1533-position model. RNAcentral also lists the same sequence under 1 other name. The record is from RNAcentral. Lineage: Bacteria; Pseudomonadati; Acidobacteriota.
UAGGGAAUCUUCGGCAAUGGACGAAAGUCUGACCGAGCAACGCCGCGUGAGUGAAGAAGGUUUUCGGAUCGUAAAACUCUGUUGUUAGAGAAGAACAAGGACGUUAGUAACUGAACGUCCCCUGACGGUAUCUAACCAGAAAGCCACGGCUAACUACGUGCCAGCAGCCGCGGUAAUACGUAGGUGGCAAGCGUUGUCCGGAAUUAUUGGGCGUAAAGCGAGCGCAGGCGGUUUCUUAAGUCUGAUGUGAAAGCCCCCGGCUCAACCGGGGAGGGUCAUUGGAAACUGGGAGACUUGAGUGCAGAAGAGGAGAGUGGAAUUCCAUGUGUAGCGGUGAAAUGCGUAGAUAUAUGGAGGAACACCAGUGGCGAAGGCGGCUCUCUGGUCUGUAACUGACGCUGAGGCUCGAAAGCGUGGGGAGCAAACAGG